AUGCUACAAAGUAUAGAAGCUUAGUUGGAUGCCUUAUUUAUCUGACAAAUACGAGGCCAGAUAUUGUCUUUGCUGUCAGUUAUGUAUCAAGAUUUAUGCAUGAGCCAAGUAAGAAUCACUAUACAGCAGCAAAGAGAAUUCUUCGCUACCUACAAGGCACAAGAAAGCUUGGAAUUAAAUAUACAAAGGAGGCAGGUGACAAACUCAUGGGGUACAGCGAUAGUGAUUGGGCAGGCUCGGUGGAUGAUCGUAAAAGCACUUCUGGAUAUUUAUUCUGCUUAGGCACAAAACCAAUUUCAUGGUCAUCAAAGAAGCAAAGAACCGUUGCAUUAUCAUCAGCAGAAGCAGAGUAUAUAUCAGCCACAGAUGCCGCAUGCGAAGCUGUUUGGCUAAGAAGAAUUUUAACUGAUAUGCAGCAUGAAGAAAUUGCUCCAACAAUUAUCAAGUGUGAUAAUAUGUCAGCAAUUGCAAUGACGAAGAAUCCGGUAUUUCACAGCAGAACCAAGCAUAUUGAACUGCGACAUCAUUUCAUCAGAAAUUUGGUCGAAAAUGGAGAAAUUCAACUCGAGUUCAUCAAAACAAGUGAACAGCUGGCAGAUGUCUUCACGAAACCAUCCACUAUAGAAAAUAUGUAGAAACUUCCAAACAAUGAUGGUGAAAAUGCUAUAUAUAUGUGUGUGAUGUUUGUACGUUGUGUGAAGAAGAAGAAAAAAAGAAAAUAAUUUCACAAUUUCAUAAAGCUUUCCUACCCGUUCUCUCAUUUAAUUUUCUUGUCUCCACCAUUCAUUCAUAAUACCCAACAAAUUUGGUAUCAGAGCCAGGUUGUCCCGAUAAAUAUUUAUGGCUUCAAACACCCAAGCCUUAUUUAAUUAUACCCAAAAUCUAGUUCCUAUCUUCGCCGGUGAGAACUACGAAUUUUGGAGUAUCCAAAUGAGGACACUCUUCAUUUUACAAGAUUUGUGGGAUGUGGUCGAAGCUGGAUUCGAAGAACCAUCAAGUCCGGAAGAAUUGCAGUCAUGGACGGCAGCAGCAAAAAAGGAGCAUAAGCAAAAUGUCCAAAGAGACGCACGUGCAUUGCUCUAUAUUCAACAAGGGGUAAGUAGCAGUAUCUUCCCCAGAAUUUCUAAUGAUGCAAAAUCAAAAAUGCUUGGGAAAUUUUAAAGAGACAAUUUGGAGGCCAAGAGCAGGUAAUCUCCAUUAAACUUCAAACUCUCUUGCGAGAUUUUGAUAAUUUAUCCAUGAAAGAUUCCGAAACUAUUCAAGAAUUUUCUUCAAGAGUUUCGGGAAUUAUUAAUCAAAUACGAAGUUAUGGAGAUACCAUUGCUGAUAAAAAGGUCGUAGAAAAAAUAUUAAUAUGUUUACCUGCAAAAUUUGAGCAUGUCGUUGCAGCAAUUGAAGAAUUCAAGGAUUUAAAAGAUUAUUCCAUAGACCAAUUAUUUGGAUCUUUGGAAGCACACGAAAAAAGAAUGAGCAGGUUUUCAAAUCAGUCGGUGGAACAAGCAUUUAAAUCAAGUUGCAAUGUAGCCGAAAAUAAUUCAGCGACCACAUCAAAAAAUAGUGGAACAAGCAUUUAAAUCAAGUUGCAGUGUAGCCGAAAAUAAUUCAGCGACCACAUCAAAAAAUCCAUCAACACGAGGAAGCAUUUCAAGAAGAGGACGAAGCAAUCGAGGCCGAGGUGGAGGAAGAAAUAUCGGACAAAGAAAUUACCUAGGUAAUUCUAAACCAUAUUGCACUAUUUGCAAGAAACCUGGGCAUGAAAAUAAAGAUUGUCGUAAUAAAUGCACUAAAUGCAAAGUGCCUAAUCAUUCACAAAGAGAUUGUUGGUAUAAAGAUAUGCAUCAAAAGAAUGAGGUUAAUUAUACUGAAAAAUCCGAAGAAAGUCAAGUAUUUUAUUCAUGCAUGAGCACUCAACAUGAGUCAAAAAAUAUUUGGUACUUGGAUAGUGGUUGCAGUAGUCAUAUGACAGGAGAUAGACAACUCUUUGUGAAGAUGGAUGAAAAAUUUUCAUCGGAAGUCAAGCUUGGAGAUGGAAAAAUUCACGAGGUGAAAGGAAAAGGAGUAAUUGCAGUAAACUCCAAUGAAGGUAAUUCUAAACUCAUCCAUGAUGUGCUUUAUGUUCCUGGCCUAACAUCAAAUCUGCUAAGUGUUGGUCAGUUACUUCGAAAAAACUAUUCGGUGAAAUUUGAUGGAAAUGAAAGCAUAAUUUAUGAUAAAAACAAAAAUAUCAUUGUGGCAAAAAUAAGAAUGAAUCAAAAUAAUGUAUUCCCUCUUAUUAUGCCAUGUGAUGGAAAUUAUGCUUUCCAAAGUCAAAAACUAGAUGAGUCAUAUUUGUGGCAUUUAAGAUAUGGGCACUUAAAUUAUAACGGCCUAAAAUUAUUGAAAGAUAAACUUGUGGCAUUUAAGAUAUUGGCACAUAAAUUAUAACGGCCUAAAAUUAUUGAAAGAUAAAAAUAUGGUGUUAGGCCUACCUCCUAUAGCCCAUAUAGAUAAAGUUUGUGAAGGGUGUAUUUACGGGAAAAUGCAUCGAUUACCAUUUUCCAAAAAUGCAUGGAGAGCUAAAGCGCCGUUAGAAUUGGUGCAUGCUGAUAUUUUUGGACCGACGAGCACUCCAUCAAUAGGCGGUAAAAGAUAUUUUCUUUUGUUCGUGGAUGAUUAUACUCGAAUGAUGUGGAUAUAUUUUCUGAAAGAAAAGUCAGAGGCUUUUUCGGUUUUCCAAGAAUUUAAAGUGCUUGUAGAAAGACAAGUUGGGAAGCUUCUGAAGACACUUCGCACAGAUCGUGGUGGAGAAUUUCUCUCAAAGGCUUUUACUGAUUACUGCAAGGCAAAAGGAGUCCAAAGACAGCUCACCGUUCGUCACACUCCGCAGCAAAAUGGUGUUGCUGAACGCAAAAAUCGAACAAUAGCAGAAAUGGCAAGAAGCAUGUUGAAGGAGAAGGGGCUACCAAAUGAAUAUUGGGCUGAAGCUGUCAACACUGCCGCGUUCAUCCUCAACAGAUCUCCGACAAAGGCAGUUAUGAAUAAAACUCCGUACGAGGCAUGGUACAAGCAAAAGCCCCAGGUACAAUUUUUAAAAGUAUUUGGUUGCAUUGCUUAUGCACUUACACCCUCACAAUAUAGAGAAAAAUUUGAUCAAAAAGGAGAAAAAUAUAUCUUCAUUGGAUAUAGUGAUGAAUCAAAAGGAUAUCGUUUGUUUGAUCCAAAAACAAAUAAACUUGUGAUCUCUCGAGAUGUAAUAUUUGAUGAAUAUGCAAAAUGGAGUUGGGAAAGCAAUUCAAGCACAGGAGCAAAAAUAUUUGAAGAAGUCGCAACUCAAGAAAGCUCAGACUCCCAACCUGUUCAAGUUUCAAGUCACGAAGACUCUCGAAGCACAAGAGACACAUCACCAAAUGUUGACUCCUCGCCACUAAAAAAGGUACGCUCCCUCAGAGAUAUUUAUGAAGCUUCUAAUGUUGCCUUUUUUGUAUGUGAGCCACAAAAUUAUGAAGAAGCAGUAAAAGAAGAUAUAUGGAUAAAUGCUAUGAACGAAGAAAUUGCAACAAUCGAGAAGAACAAUACAUGGGAGUUAGUAGACCUACCAGAAGGUAAAGAAGUCAUUGGACUGAAAUGGGUCUACAAGACAAAGUACAAAGAAGAUGGAACAAUUCAAAAGCAUAAAGCUCGACUAGUGGCGAAAGGAUACUCACAACAGCCAGGAGUCGACUUCACAGAGACAUUCGCGCCAGUUGCUCGAAUGGAGACAGUCAGGACAGUUCUUGCACUAGCUGCUCAAAUGGAGACACCAGUUUAUCAGCUAGAUGUCAAAUCAGCUUUUCUAAAUGGAGAAUUACAAGAAGAAGUAUAUGUGGAGCAACCUCUGUGUUAUAUUGUCAAAGGAAGCGAGAACAAAGUCUUGCGGCUAAAAAAGGCACAGUAUGGAUUAAAACAAGCACCACGAGCCUGGAACAGCAAGAUUGAUUCCUAUUUUCAACAAAAUGGAUUUCAACGCAGCCCGAGCGAGCCUUCCUUGUACGUCAAAAGAGAAGGUACGCAUGAUAUUCUAAUCGUCUGCUUAUAUGUUGAUGAUUUGAUAUAUUGUGGCACUAACCCAAAGAUGGUAGAAGAAUUCAAAAGUUCCAUGAUGAAAGAAUACGAGAUGACAGAUCUUGGUCUUAUGAAGUAUUUUCUUGGCAUCCAAAUUCAACAAGCAAAAGGAGAAAUAUUUAUUUCUCAAGAAAAAUAUUUAAAUGAUCUUCUUAAGCGGUUUGGCAUGAAUGAUUGCAAACCGAUAUCAACGCCAAUGGCGUUAAAUGAGAAGCUAAGCAAAGAAGAUGACUCAGAAAAAGUUGAUGCUACAAAGCAUAGAAGCUUAGUUGUAUCUGACAAAUACGAGGCCAGAUAUUGUCUUUGCUGUCAGUUAUGUAUCAAGAUUUAUGCAUGAGCCAAGUAAGAAUCACUAUACAGCAGCAAAGAGAAUUCUUCGCUACCUACAAGGCACAAGAAAGCUUGGAAUUAAAUAUACAAAGGAGGCAGGUGACAAACUCAUGGGGUACAGCGAUAGUGAUUGGGCAGGCUCGGUGGAUGAUCGUAAAAGCACUUCUGGAUAUUUAUUCUGC
RNAcentral lists this long non-coding RNA (4592 nucleotides) under Nicotiana benthamiana. RNAcentral's name for it is "long non-coding RNA (NBEN_LNC029957)". The record is from RNAcentral. Lineage: Eukaryota; Viridiplantae; Streptophyta; Magnoliopsida; Solanales; Solanaceae.